This 468-nucleotide ribosomal RNA is filed under the name uncultured bacterium. RNAcentral describes it as "partial 16S ribosomal RNA". It matches the Rfam family "Bacterial small subunit ribosomal RNA", at positions 28 to 507 of the family's 1533-position model. The record is from RNAcentral.
GACGAACGCUGGCGGCGUGCUUAACACAUGCAAGUCGAACGGAAAGGCCCUGCUUUUGUGGGGUGCUCGAGUGGCGAACGGGUGAGUAACACGUGAGUAACCUGCCCUUGACUUUGGGAUAACUUCAGGAAACUGGGGCUAAUACCGGAUAGGAGCUCCUGCUGCAUGGUGGGGGUUGGAAAGUUUCGGCGGUUGGGGAUGGACUCGCGGCUUAUCCGCUUGUUGGUGGGGUAGUGGCUUACCAAGGCUGUGACGGGUAGCCGGCCUGAGAGGGUGACCGGCCACAUUGGGACUGAGAUACGGCCCAGACUCCUACGGGAGGCAGCAGUGGGGAAUAUUGCACAAUGGGCGGAAGCCUGAUGCAGCAACGCCGCGUGCGGGAUGACGGCCUUCGGGUUGUAAACCGCUUUCGCCUGUGACGAAGCGUGAGUGACGGUAAUGGGUAAAGAAGCACCGGCUAACUACGUG